CGUAGUGUACCUGUAAACACACUGGGCUUUGAAUCCAGUAACACGAGUUAGAAUCUCGUCG
This is a non-coding RNA of Haemonchus contortus (barber pole worm), 61 nucleotides long. Lineage: Eukaryota; Metazoa; Nematoda; Chromadorea; Rhabditida; Trichostrongylidae. The record is from Rfam.